Xiphophorus couchianus (Monterrey platyfish) is the source of this 1821-nucleotide long non-coding RNA. RefSeq lists it as uncharacterized. Lineage: Eukaryota; Metazoa; Chordata; Actinopteri; Cyprinodontiformes; Poeciliidae. The transcript is spliced from 2 exons. The record is from RefSeq and is a predicted model, not a curated record.
UGAGGCCCUAUAAAGGCCCUCUCUUCUGUCCUUAAACAUAUUUCUUCUCCUGUUCACCUUCAGCUACUUAUAAAAGACUGGAGGAUGUGUGAACAGCAUCCCAGGAAUGCCAUCUACUUACCACAUCCAUUCACUGAAACAUAAAAUGAAACAUUUUAAUUAAACUAUAUGAGCACAUCUUAAUUAAAAGAGAGCAGUGCAAUAUUCUUUGUUUAUAGGCACUGCAAGAGAAGACUGCAUGUCUUUAAAAAUUUUGCAUGAAGGAGAAUUUUUGAACUCGUUAUACACGACUAUUCACAGCGCAUUCCAAAAGUAUUCAUACCACUUACAUCUUUUUUCCAUAAAUCUUUAUGUACUUGGUUGGGAUUUUACACCAAUAUAAAGCAAUUUACAGUUGUGUGGCUGAAAGAAAACAACACUUGGUUUUCAAUCUUCUUUUUUUCACAGAAAAAUCCAAGUGUAAUUCAAUCUGAUAACCCAAAAUAAAAUACUCCAAAUUGCUGUCAAAAUUAACAUAUUUUCAAAGCGAAGUCUACAUGUGAGUAAUUUCAUUCUCUGAAAGCCUCAGAAAGUGCGCUAGAGAACAUCAGUGAACAAACACCAUAAUCAAAAGUCACACAAAACAUAAAAUUUCUCCAUAAAUGUUAUAGAUAUGGAUAAAUGUUAUAAAUGUUAAAUAUUCCAAGCUUUUGAGGUCUUGGAGAGCUCUAUCUAAUCCAUCAUCUCUAGAUGAAUCUAGAUCUUCCUGCAAACCAACCAAGACACGACCAUCCACCUAAAUGGUGGGCAUCUAGUAAAAAGAUAAAACAAGCAAGAUAAUAAUAUAAAAAGAUAAAAAUAAACACAUAAUAUUGUUCACUGAGUCACCAAUAAAGGAUGACAGCAGUGGUUCCACAAUCUUGAGGUAAAUCCGACUGUCCUCAAUGCGGGGUUUGCUAAAAUUAUAUUAUUGCAUUUCACAGAUAAUGUGUCAUGCAAUAAUAUACACAUGCAUUUUUACGUAACAUUUCUGAGCACAGCUGGACAUGUGGGUAUAGCCUUAUGUACAAACGUAUGGCUGUCACUACUUCAUGUAGGCACUGUAAGUAGUAGCCUCAUACCAUCAUUGUAGACCACGUAAAGUUUCUGCAUGCUGCAUCUUUUGUAUAGUCACAACAGAUGGGCAGUAUAUAGUGAAUCACAAAAUCCAUGGCAAGAUUUGGAAAUGGUGUUCACAGAUGCUCUUGGGCAGAACUUGAGCUUUGUUACAAAGAUGAAUGGUCAGAAGUUUCAGUCUUUUUAUAUGCAAAGCUGGCAGAGACAGAACCCAAAAAAACGUGCUGCUGUAAUUGCAGCUAAAAAAGGCUCUGCUAACUUUAGACUCAGAGGAGCCUGAAUACAAGCUGUGUAUUGUUUCAUUUUAGUUCCACUGUACUUAAAUAAAAUACGUUGAAGUGUGUGAGUGUAACAUGACAAAAUGUGCAAAAGUUGAACACACGUGUGAAUAUGCUUGGAAGCCCUGAAGUUACAGCAAGGAAAUAUUGCAGAUAUUAACUUUUUGCACGAAGGACAUUUUGAACAACUAAUACUGUUUCUUUUUGUGUUAUUUGUGUUGUUUUCCAAGCAAAUUUGUUGUUUGAAUAUCACUAGGCGGUAGUAUUUUUUUCAUAGCUAACUGUUAAUGUGAAGUGUUAAAAUUGUGAAAUGAGGAGAACAUUGUUCAUGUUUCAUUAUUUUUUUUAUUUUAUAGAGGUUGUUAUACAUUCAGUGAGUUUCCCCAUUAUUUUUGAUGAAUGUUUCCAAACUGAAUAUGCUUAAUAAACACAUUUAGGAAAAUUGUAA